UCUAUCCAGAAGGGACCAUCUGUUGUGUCUACAUACAUUAAUUCUACAUACAUUAAUUCUGCCGAAACAUGAAUGUGAAGUGUGCAUAUUUCUUCAAAAUGUGUUAUUUCCAAGCGGGGAGGAACUGCAUAAAGCAAUAAAUUUCAAAAAACAUUAUUUCCCCUUUAGUAAGAAAUAAUAUCGUUCUUCCCUCACCAAAAUGAGUUAUUUCCAACAUUUUGAAUAUAACCAAUGUGUAAUAUUAUCAUAUUACUUUCUGGCAAUGCUGAUUAUUUUUGUAUGUCAUUUGCAUAUGCGAAUGUUGAAAGAUUUCCUUACUACUACUACAAAAAUGGAUAUACCAUGUGAAGUCAGGGAAUUAAAUACAGGUUCCAGAAAGAGGAAAAGGUGUUCAGGAAAAGAAAAAAGGAUGCAACGAUCUGUAAAGUGAGUAUGCAUUUAAAAACUCCUUGUAUUUUUCUCUCAUUAAUUUGAAUACAGAUAUUAUAUUCUCAAUCUAUGAUUAUCUGUUACCUUUGUGAGGAUGAUGGAAAUGAUUUAAAAUGUAUUGUUCACAGAUACCAAGGUAGUAGUCCACUUAUGGUUGGUUUUGAUGAAACUUGCCACCACAGGGGCUCCAAAUUUGAAUGUGCCAAAUUUCAAGUCAGUGAUUUGCUGAGAAACAGGCGUCUCUUUUAUUCUAAGACUGGCUAGAUAAAUCAAGAUGUCUACAACAUCAAGUGAAACCAGAACAGACUUCAAGGACAGUACAUUCUAGAAGAAAGAAAGACUGCAAAAUUCAGUUGUUAAUUUCCUCUUAACCAAGGAAAGGAAACACGUUAAACUUUGUCAGAACUUAUUUUUGAAAGUAUUUUCUCUGGGUAAAACUAGAUUACGAAAUAUUUGUAAAACUGCUCAUGAAUGUGGAGUUAUAAAAGAAAGAAGAGGUGGAGACAGAAAGACAAAGAUAUUUGCAAGAAAGCACGAUAGCAUUAAGAAUUUUUAUACGCAAGCUACCAGCAAAGGAGAGUCAUUAUAAUCGCCUUAAAAGUAAAAGAAUCUAUCUGUCAUCUGAUCUGAGCAUUAGCAAAUUGCACUGCAUUUAUAACUCCACUGUGGAAGAAAGCUUAAAGGUUAAGCAGAGUUUUUUCAGAUCAGUCUUUAAUAAUGAUUUCAACAUAGGAUUUAAGAGUCCAGCUUCUGAUGCUUGCAGCCUGUGUGUACUUUUAACAAAUAAAAUAAAAUCUGAAAAUGAUACAAACAAAUGAAAGGAAUUUAUGAUAAAAAAACGGAUACAUACAUUAAGAGCCAAUGCAUUUUGUUCGUUGAUUACAGAAUCUCCAGAAGGAAGAAUCAGUUUUUGUUUUGACCUGCAACAAAUUCUUCCAUUGCCAAAAACACCCAUCCAGGAAAGCUUUUACGAUAGACAAAUUAAUUUUUAUAAUUUAUGUAUUGUUGACAUGCAAUCAAAAUACCCAAAUUUUUUUUGUUGGACUGAAAACCAAAGUGGAAAAGGAUGUACUGAAAUCGGAUCGGCGAUGUUGUAUUAUCUUAAUAACCUGCAUAUUACUGAUAGUAUUACUCACCUACGCUUAUUUAGCGAUGGGUGUGGGGGGCAGAAUAAGAAUUCUUAUAUUAUCUUUGUAUUAAUGUAUUGGUUGGUUAAAAAAUCGCCAUAUUCACUACAAUAUAUACAAAUCACAUACCCAGUACGCGGUCACAGUUUUCUCCCUGCAGAUCGCGUUUUCGGAAGAAUAGAAAAGACCAUGAAAGCACACCCUGUUAUAACUAAAAAGGAGGAAUAUGUUGACUUGCUAUCAGAACAUGGGAAGGUUCAUUAUUUAGGGGGUACAUGGAAAACUUACGACAUCAAAGGUCU
This 1858-nucleotide long non-coding RNA is filed under the name Androctonus crassicauda. The record is from RNAcentral. Lineage: Eukaryota; Metazoa; Arthropoda; Arachnida; Scorpiones; Buthidae.